AUGUUUCUCUUGGUCAAAAACACACUCAAGUCGUCUCCAAGUUCGAAGCAUUCAGCAAACAAUGGCAAGGCAGAGCCACCAGAAAGGUACACCUGAUUUUCAUGACAGAUAUGGUAAUGCUGUAUUAGCUAGUGGAGCCACUUUCUGUACUGCUGUAUGGACAAGUGUAGCAACACAAAUCGAAAUGGAAUGGAACCCAUCCCCUGUUAGCUGAGCCACCCCAAAAGGACGGAUAGAUCAGUGA
RNAcentral lists this long non-coding RNA (244 nucleotides) under Homo sapiens (human). Its description in RNAcentral is "non-protein coding lnc-MB-11:10". Lineage: Eukaryota; Metazoa; Chordata; Mammalia; Primates; Hominidae. The record is from RNAcentral.